GAUGAAGAACGCAGCGAAUUGCGAUAAGUAAUGUGAAUUGCAGAUUUUCAGUGAAUCAUCGAAUCUUUGAACGCACCUUGCGCCCUUUGGCUAUUCCGAAGGGCAUGCCUGUUUGAGUAUCAUGAACAUCUCAACUCCUCGCGGUUUGCCCGUGACGAGCUUGGACUUUGGGGGUCUUGCCGGCCUGUGGGUCGGCUCCUCUCAAAUGAAUCAGCUUGCCGGUGUUUGGUGGCGUCACAGGUGUGAUAACUAUCUACGCUUGUGGUUUUCCGCCAGGUAACCUCCAGCAAUGGGGGUUCACUGGAGCUCACAAAUGUCUUUCCUCGGUGAGGACAGCUUUUUGAACGUUUGAUCUCAAAUCAGGUAGGACUACCCGCUGAACUUAAGCAUAUCAAUAAGCGGAGGA
This 406-nucleotide unclassified non-coding RNA is filed under the name soil metagenome. Its description in RNAcentral is "partial contains 5.8S ribosomal RNA, internal transcribed spacer 2, and large subunit ribosomal RNA". The stretch from base 1 to 122 matches the Rfam family "5.8S ribosomal RNA", at positions 35 to 154 of the family's 154-position model. The record is from RNAcentral.